This 230-nucleotide long non-coding RNA is filed under the name Capsicum annuum. RNAcentral's name for it is "long non-coding RNA (CANN_LNC017548)". Lineage: Eukaryota; Viridiplantae; Streptophyta; Magnoliopsida; Solanales; Solanaceae. The record is from RNAcentral.
GAAGCCACGUCCUUCAGUCACAACUGAUGGACUUGUUGAUCUAAAAUCUCAAUUGAUACUUCCUCAUAAGAUAAAAAAUCUGAGACACCAACACUCUUCAAAGGAAAAACCAAGGAAAGAUCACCCACAUACUUCUUCAACAUUGACACAUAAAAGACCGGAUGGAUAGAUCCCAAACUCAAAGGAAAAUCUAACUCAUAAUCCACCUUGCGCACUCAAAUCUGAAUACA